This 484-nucleotide ribosomal RNA is filed under the name uncultured bacterium. RNAcentral's name for it is "partial 16S ribosomal RNA". It matches the Rfam family "Bacterial small subunit ribosomal RNA", at positions 29 to 507 of the family's 1533-position model. The record is from RNAcentral.
AUUGAACGCUGGCGGCAUGCUUUACACAUGCAAGUCGAACGGCAGCGCGGGCUUCGGCCUGGCGGCGAGUGGCGAACGGGUGAGUAAUACAUCGGAACGUGCCCAGUAGUGGGGGAUAGCUCGGCGAAAGCCGGAUUAAUACCGCAUACGACCUGAGGGUGAAAGCGGGGGAUCUUCGGACCUCGCGCUAUUGGAGCGGCCGAUGGCAGAUUAGCUAGUUGGUGGGGUAAAGGCCUACCAAGGCGACGAUCUGUAGCUGGUCUGAGAGGACGACCAGCCACACUGGGACUGAGACACGGCCCAGACUCCUACGGGAGGCAGCAGUGGGGAAUUUUGGACAAUGGGCGAAAGCCUGAUCCAGCAAUGCCGCGUGUGUGAUGAAGGCCUUCGGGUCGUAAAGCACUUUUGGCGGGAACGAAAAGGACUGUGCCAAUACCACGGUUCGAUGACGGUACCCGCAGAAUAAGCACCGGCUAGCUACGUG